AUUAGCUUGUUGGUGAGGUAACGGCUCACCAAGGCGACGAUCCGUAGCUGGUCUGAGAGGAUGAUCAGCCACAUCGGGACUGAGACACGGCCCGAACUCCUACGGGAGGCAGCAGUGGGGAAUAUUGGACAAUGGGCGCAAGCCUGAUCCAGCCAUGCCGCGUGUGUGAAGAAGGCUUUCGGGUUGUAAAGCACUUUCAGUGAGGAAGAAGGCCUUGGGGCCAAUACCCCCGAGGAAGGACAUCACUCACAGAAGAAGCACCGGCUAACUCCGUGCCAGCAGCCGCGGUAAUACGGAGGGUGCGAGCGUUAAUCGGAAUUACUGGGCGUAAAGCGCGCGUAGGUGGCUUGAUAAGCCGGUUGUGAAAGCCCCGGGCUCAACCUGGGAACGGCAUCCGGAACUGUCAGGCUAGAGUGCAGGAGAGGAAGGUAGAAUUCCCGGUGUAGCGGUGAAAUGCGUAGAGAUCGGGAGGAAUACCAGUGGCGAAGGCGGCCUUCUGGACUGACACUGACACUGAGGUGCGAAAGCGUGGGUAGCAAACAGGAUUAGAUACCCUGGUAGUCCACGCCGUAAACGAUGUCGACUAGCCGUUGGGGUCCUAGAGACCUUUGUGGCGCAGUUAACGCGAUAAGUCGACCGCCUGGGGAGUACGGCCGCAAGGUUAAAACUCAAAUGAAUUGACGGGGGCCCGCACAAGCGGUGGAGCAUGUGGUUUAAUUCGAUGCAACGCGAAGAACCUUACCUACCCUUGACAUCGUGCGAACUUUCCAGAGAUGGAUUGGUGCCUUCGGGAGCGCACAGACAGGUGCUGCAUGGCUGUCGUCAGCUCGUGUUGUGAAAUGUUGGGUUAAGUCCCGUAACGAGCGCAACCCUUGUCCCUAUUUGCCAGCGAUUCGGUCGGGAACUCUAGGGAGACUGCCGGUGACAAACCGGAGGAAGGUGGGGACGACGUCAAGUCAUCAUGGCCCUUACGGGUAGGGCUACACACGUGCUACAAUGGCCGGUACAAAGGGUUGCGAAGCCGCGAGGUGGAGCUAAUCCCGAAAAGCCGGUCUCAGUCCGGAUCGGAGUCUGCAACUCGACUCCGUGAAGUCGGAAUCGCUAGUAAUCGUGAAUCAGAAUGUCACGGUGAAUACGUUCCCGGGCCUUGUACACACCGCCCGU
RNAcentral lists this ribosomal RNA (1164 nucleotides) under Halomonas sp. SL013A-39A-1. RNAcentral's name for it is "bacterial SSU rRNA". It matches the Rfam family "Bacterial small subunit ribosomal RNA", at positions 240 to 1397 of the family's 1533-position model. Lineage: Bacteria; Pseudomonadati; Pseudomonadota; Gammaproteobacteria; Oceanospirillales; Halomonadaceae. The record is from RNAcentral.